GCCCACGUGGCUCAGGGGUUGAGUGUCAGUCUACGAACCAGGAGGUCAGGGUUCGAUUCCCAGUCAGGGCA
Molecule: transfer RNA, 71 nt
Filed under: Myotis brandtii (Brandt's bat)
Lineage: Eukaryota; Metazoa; Chordata; Mammalia; Chiroptera; Vespertilionidae
Rfam family: tRNA
About the family: Transfer RNA (tRNA) molecules are approximately 80 nucleotides in length.
Source: Rfam by way of RNAcentral